Molecule: ribosomal RNA, 253 nt
Filed under: uncultured bacterium
Lineage: Bacteria
Description: partial 16S ribosomal RNA
Rfam family: Bacterial small subunit ribosomal RNA
Source: RNAcentral
UACAGAGGGUGCUAGCGUUGUUCGGAAUCAUUGGGCGUAAAGGGCGUGUAGGCGGUUUGUUAAGUCAUGUGUGAAAUCCCUCGGCUCAACCGGGGAACGACGCAUGAAACUGGCAAGCUAGAGUACCAAAGAGGGGGGUGGAAUUCCCGGUGUAGGGGUAAAAUCCGUUGAUAUCGGGAAGAACACCAGUGGCGAAGGCGCCUUGCUGGGCCAUCACUGACGCUCAGGGACGAAAGCGUGGGUAGCGAACGGG